RNAcentral lists this ribosomal RNA (450 nucleotides) under uncultured organism. Its description in RNAcentral is "partial 16S ribosomal RNA". It matches the Rfam family "Bacterial small subunit ribosomal RNA", at positions 335 to 801 of the family's 1533-position model. The record is from RNAcentral.
ACUCCUGCGGGAGGCAGCAGUGGGGAAUAUUGGACAAUGGGCGCAAGCCUGAUCCAGCCAUGCCGCGUGAGUGAUGAAGGCCCUAGGGUUGUAAAGCUCUUUCACCGGUGAAGAUAAUGACGGUAACCGGAGAAGAAGCCCCGGCUAACUUCGUGCCAGCAGCUGCGGUAAUACGAAGGGGGCUAGCGUUGUUCGGAUUUACUGGGCGUAAAGCGCACGUAGGCGGACUAUUAAGUCAGGGGUGAAAUCCCGGGGCUCAACCCCGGAACUGCAUUUGAUACUGGUAGUCUUGAGUUCGAGAGAGGUGAGUGGAAUUCCGAGUGUAGAGGUGAAAUUCGUAGAUAUUCGGAGGAACACCAGUGGCGAAGGCGGCUCACUGGCUCGAUACUGACGCUGAGGUGCGAAAGCGUGGAGAGCAAACGGGAUUAGAAACCCUGGUAGUCCCAUGAU